Molecule: long non-coding RNA, 701 nt
Filed under: Homo sapiens (human)
Lineage: Eukaryota; Metazoa; Chordata; Mammalia; Primates; Hominidae
Description: HSALNT0106353
Source: RNAcentral
UAUCAACAUCACAUCACCACCACCAUCAUUACUACUAUCACAUCACCACCACCAUCAUUAUUACCAUCACCACAUCACCACCAGCAUCAUUACCACCAUCACCACAUCACCACCACCAUCAUUACUACCAUCACCACAUCACCACCACCAUCAUUACUACCAUCACAUCACCACCACCAUUACUACCAUCACAUCACCACCAGCAUCAUUACCACCAUCACAUCACCACCACCAUCAUUACUACCAUCACAUCACCAUCAUCAUUACCAACAUCACCACAUCACCACCACCAUCAUUACUACCAUCACCACAUCACCACCACCAUCAUUACUACCAUCACAUCACCACCACCAUCAUUACCACCAUCACCACACCACUACCAGCAUCAUUACCACCAUCACAUCACCACCACCAUCAUUAUGACCAUCACAUCACCACCAGCAACAUUACCACCAUCACAUCACCACUACCAUCAUUACCAUCACAUCAUCACUACCAUCACCAGAUCACUGUCACCAUCAUUACCACAUCUAUCACAUAAUCCUCAUCACCACUGCUACCCUCAUGACCACAUCAUUACUACCAGCGGCCCUAGCCCCAUCCUCUCAUCUCUACUCCAAUCACCCCUGUCACCAUCACUUCCAUCACCAGGAUCCCACCUCCCUUACUAUUAUACCAUCCACCACCCUACUUACCACUGC